Molecule: ribosomal RNA, 480 nt
Filed under: uncultured bacterium
Lineage: Bacteria
Description: partial 16S ribosomal RNA
Rfam family: Bacterial small subunit ribosomal RNA
Source: RNAcentral
GAUGAACGCUGGCGGCGUGCUUAACACAUGCAAGUCGAGCGGAACUACUCCAAUGAGAGUCUUCGGAAAGGAUUUGGUUUAGUUUAGUGGCGGACGGGUGAGUAACGCGUGGGUAACCUGCCCUAUACAGGGGGAUAACAGUUGGAAACGACUGUUAAUACCGCAUAAGCGCACAGGAGCGCAUGCUCCGGUGUGAAAAACUCCGGUGGUAUAGGAUGGACCCGCGUCUGAUUAGCUGGUUGGCGGGGUAACGGCCCACCAAGGCGACGAUCAGUAGCCGGCCUGAGAGGGUGAACGGCCACAUUGGGACUGAGACACGGCCCAAACUCCUACGGGAGGCAGCAGUGGGGAAUAUUGCACAAUGGGGGAAACCCUGAUGCAGCGACGCCGCGUGAGCGAAGAAGUAUCUCGGUAUGUAAAGCUCUAUCAGCAGGGAAGAAAAUGACGGUACCUGACUAAGAAGCCCCGGCUAACUACGUG